CAGUCGCCACGGGAAAACAGAGGGUGCAAGCGUUAAUCGGAAUUACUGGGCGUAAAGCGCGCGUAGGUGGUUUGUUAAGUUGGAUGUGAAAUCCCCGGGCUCAACCUGGGAACUGCAUCCAAAACUGGCAAGCUAGAGUAUGGUAGAGGGUGGUGGAAUUUCCUGUGUAGCGGUGAAAUGCGUAGAUAUAGGAAGGAACACCAGUGGCGAAGGCGACCACCUGGACUGAUACUGACACUGAGGUGCGAAAGCGUGGGGAGCAAACAGGAUUAGAUACCCGUGUAGUCCCUGUCUCUUAUAC
This 301-nucleotide ribosomal RNA is filed under the name uncultured bacterium. RNAcentral describes it as "partial 16S ribosomal RNA". It matches the Rfam family "Bacterial small subunit ribosomal RNA", at positions 509 to 807 of the family's 1533-position model. The record is from RNAcentral.